Molecule: ribosomal RNA, 468 nt
Filed under: uncultured bacterium
Lineage: Bacteria
Description: partial 16S ribosomal RNA
Rfam family: Bacterial small subunit ribosomal RNA
Source: RNAcentral
GACGAACGCUGGCGGCGUGCUUAACACAUGCCAGUCGAACGGAAAGGCCCUGCUUUUGUGGGGUGCUCGAGUGGCGAACGGGUGAGUAACACGUGAGUAACCUGCCCUUGACUUUGGGAUAACUUCAGGAAACUGGGGCUAAUACCGGAUAGGAGCUCCUGCUGCAUGGUGGGGGUGGGAAAGUUUCGGCGGUUGGGGAUGGACUCGCGGCUUAUCAGCUUGUUGGUGGGGUAGUGGCUUACCAAGGCUUUGACGGGUAGCCGGCCUGAGAGGGUGGACGGCCACAUUGGGACUGAGAUACGGCCCAGACUCCUACGGGAGGCAGCAGUGGGGAAUAUUGCACAAUGGGCGGAAGCCUGAUGCAGCAACGCCGCGUGGGGGAUGACGGCCUUCGGGUUGUAAACCGCUUUCGCCUGUGACGAAGCGUGAGUGACGGUAAUGGGUAAAGAAGCACCGGCUAACUACGUG